This 300-nucleotide ribosomal RNA is filed under the name Triticum aestivum (bread wheat). RNAcentral's name for it is "partial small subunit ribosomal RNA". The record is from RNAcentral. Lineage: Eukaryota; Viridiplantae; Streptophyta; Magnoliopsida; Poales; Poaceae.
AUGGAAGAUAAUGGGCCCAAGCUUUUAGGAACGCCAAGGAUCCAAUUUCAAGCUUUGGCCUCUUCCACAAAUUCGCCGUUCAAUCAGGAGGUCUACUGGAAAUUGGUCCUAGAGGAGCUCUCCAUGAAGUUUCUACAAGAACCAAAAUCAAUCCUACAAGCAUCAGAUAUAUCAGAGGAAGCAUGGUUCCCAAGUUCAUUGCUUAAUAUUCAUGAAUGUUGUCUACAACCAUGGCAUUCCCAAAACAAGACAACACAAUUAUUCUCUGGAGGGACAAGGGAUCUGAUGAUUAUCCAGUGA